RNAcentral lists this ribosomal RNA (483 nucleotides) under uncultured bacterium. RNAcentral's name for it is "partial 16S ribosomal RNA". It matches the Rfam family "Bacterial small subunit ribosomal RNA", at positions 30 to 507 of the family's 1533-position model. The record is from RNAcentral.
AUUGAACGCUGGCGGCAGGCCUAACACAUGCAAGUCGAGCGGAUGAAGGGAGCUUGCUCCUGGAUUCAGCGGCGGACGGGUGAGUAAUGCCUAGGAAUCUGCCUGGUAGUGGGGGAUAACGUCCGGAAACGGGCGCUAAUACCGCAUACGUCCUAAGGGAGAAAGUGGGGGAUCUUCGGACCUCACGCUAUCAGAUGAGCCUAGGUCGGAUUAGCUAGUUGGUGGGGUAAAGGCCUACCAAGGCGACGAUCCGUAACUGGUCUGAGAGGAUGAUCAGUCACACUGGAACUGAGACACGGUCCAGACUCCUACGGGAGGCAGCAGUGGGGAAUAUUGACAAUGGGCGAAAGCCUGAUCCAGCCAUGCCGCGUGUGUGAAGAAGGUCUUCGGAUUGUAAAGCACUUUAAGUUGGGAGGAAGGGCAGUAAGUUAAUACCUUGCUGUUUUGACGUUACCAACAGAAUAAGCACCGGCUAACUUCGUG